CAAUGCUGACGCAAUUCGCACGCGACAUGCACAAUAUGUAAACAACCGAAGAACAGACCCAACGUUGUCCCAGACGGGACAUUUCCCAAGCACCGUGACUGCAAGGGAACGGGUUUUGGUCGACAACAUUCGGUUACAUUUGGCUAUUAUUAACAAAUUGUGCAUCACGUGGAAUGCAUCAGGAGAUGGAUAAUACAAGCAACAGAACCUACCGGCGCCGUAAUAAGUCAGUGACUUCUUUCAAACUGAGAUCCAUGGCGUAACCAUAGGAACAGUCUGAUGUUUAGACAAGGCUGACGUCAUCUGUGGGGAUGGAUUGACUCAGUGCAGAAUCACAGAAUAGUUCUUCAGGUGUAGAUGGAUCUGAGACAGUGUGGAGGUGAUCCCCAGAGGUGGAAUGGGCUUGGACCUCCCCCUGCCCAGGAGAGACAGACCGCCCCACAGGACUUGCGUUGACCUCAAACCUAGGCUGGGCCUGUGGAGAUCCACCACGGCCCCCUGGGGCUGCAGCUACCUCAUCUGUGGUGGUGGGGGCAGGACGACCUGUUACAAAAGCAGGGGGCCGUACACACUUCUAUCCAGGGGCUGCAGCUUGUGGGAGCAGUGAGGAGGGAAGGAGAGCAGCACGACGCCAUUGGCUUUGCAGUAGUCCAUGCCCUGGAGUGAGAGGUGAGAGGCUUGAUUAUCCAGAAGCAGCAGCUGUGGGGACACCCUGGUGUACUUCACAAAAUGUUGCAAGAAGGCCAGGAAGUCAUUCUCCAUCAUCCAACCAGAACCACUAGCAGUGCCCAUGCAACCUGUAGGCCCAUCACGUAGGAAGUGAUCAAGAUGUUGUUGGUCCGACCUGCUUCCUCCCUCUGUUGGCAAUGAUUUUGUCCGGCACUUGGACUGUUGUGGUGCUGGUCUCAUCCAUGUUCCACACAUCUUUGGCCUCAAAGUUGUGGCGGCCCAGAAUGUUAAUUCCAGUAAAAGCUUUAGCAUUUUCAAAUGUCUUCCUGAGAGCGCAGCCCUCUACCCUUUUUCAGAAUUCCCAUUCACUGGGGUUUCCAACAUUCCUCUGAGGAUGCUAAGAAUUUUGUUAAUUGUUUACUGUGUUUUAGUUCAGCCGUUGAUGAGUUUCCUCACAUGAUACAUUGAGUUUAAGAUUGAGACACAUCGCUGCACAUUGAGUAGAAGCAAUGUAUGAGAUCUGAUGAGUCCGUGGAAAAGAGCAGACCCUCUGAACUAUCCCUCUAAGAUCCAAGGACCGACUGAUGCUAAUACUGCUAAUAGUAUUACUGUUCAGUCAGUCUACAUCAUGGUUUCCACAAAACUCAACAGAACCGCAUGUUCUCUCUCCGUCUCACUCCUUCUCAACAUGAAAAUGGUCGAAGAGGAGCAAGGCAUGUUUGAUCCGUCUGCCUGUUUUUUUUCUGGCACAUCGUUGCCCCGGAAACGUACAUUUUUUGGACUCUUGUCAUUCUUUUUCUAUUUUCUCUGGCAAUGAACAGCUCUUUGUAGUGUCAUCAUGAACAGUUCAUUCCUACCCCCAGGAACAAAGGCUGCAUUAGACUACCUGUUAAGUUCACUUAGCCCUUUCACACUACCCAUUGGACUGUUGAGACUUAGAGAACGCUUCUGACAGCCGUCCUAUGCCUUGUUAAGUCAUUUAUUGAUCUGUAAUAUUUUGCAUAGCUUUAUUAGAGCUUUAUUCCCUGUGUCAUACUAUUUUCUGUUCCCCCUCACAGUGAGUUUUGGGGGGUUGGUGCACAGCACAUUUCAGUGGUGUGACAGCUGUCUUCCUGAGCUCUCAGAUGACUCUGGGCCUCAUGGCACUAGAAAGAUAUGUUUAUUUGCCACAGCAUCUACUACCUGAGCAUAAUAAUUUCCAGGCAUCUGCAGCUUGCCUUGAGGCUAAGCUGGGUUUUCAGUGUCAGUGUUGGUAGUGAUCAACCUGGGACAAGGUUCUGUUAACAAAGCCACUGCAGGACUAUUCUUGAACCUCGAAUUGUGGAAGGGUCUAUUUGUUUUAUUCCAGAGCAAAAUGUACUGUUCUUCGGCCCUCCCAGCCUCAUCUUGACUCUUUCAGUCAUCAUCAUCCGCUCCUGUUAUGGACGCAUGUAGUAGAAAGCACGCAGGGCUGCUGUGGUAAGCCAAGCUCUUAAAGGCCGUAUGCAGCCGUUUCUUUGCUAGGACUCUCUGGGAGUGGUCUGAGUGGGAGGGAUAUGUCAUCUCAAAACGAGCUGUUAUUGGCAGAGAAGUUUGGAACUCUCUUUGUAAGUGAGGGGAAUCGAUUAUCUGGCCUUGGUUACCCCGGUGUGAGGAGAUUGCACCAGGUUAAAAGUGAUUGCAUUCGUUUUGGAACCAGGCUGCCUCCCGGGCGUGAGACAGGUGCCCCAUUCUACGCCCACGGCGAAGUCGA
RNAcentral lists this long non-coding RNA (2401 nucleotides) under Salmo salar (Atlantic salmon). RNAcentral describes it as "lncRNA (ENSSSAG00000113369.1)". Lineage: Eukaryota; Metazoa; Chordata; Actinopteri; Salmoniformes; Salmonidae. The record is from RNAcentral.